GGAGCCGGCCGGACAACCGCUGCUGCUGCGUGCAGGAGAGGAAAGUCCGGGCUCCACAGGGCGAGGUGCCAGGUAACGCCUGGGCGGCGUGAGCCGACGGAAAGUGCAACAGAGAGCAGACCGCCGAUGGCCGCAGCAUUGCGGAUCAGGCAAGGGUGAAACGGUGCGGUAAGAGCGCACCGCGAGUCCGGCAACGGACCGGCACGGCAAACCCCACCUGGAGCAAGACCAAAUAGGGAAGGUGUGCGCGCAAGCGCACGACACGUGGCCCGCGUGCCUUCCGGGUAGGUCGCUGGAGCGCGGCGGCGACGCCGCGCCUAGAGGAAUGGUUGUCGGGGCGCGCAAGCGCUCGCACAGAACCCGGCUUAUAGGCCGGCUCCCCAU
This 384-nucleotide RNase P RNA is filed under the name Fontimonas thermophila. RNAcentral's name for it is "Solimonas sp. HA-01 Bacterial RNase P class A". It matches the Rfam family "Bacterial RNase P class A". Rfam says of the family: Ribonuclease P (RNase P) is a ubiquitous endoribonuclease, found in archaea, bacteria and eukarya as well as chloroplasts and mitochondria. The record is from Rfam by way of RNAcentral. Lineage: Bacteria; Pseudomonadati; Pseudomonadota; Gammaproteobacteria; Nevskiales; Nevskiaceae.